GUGCAGCAGUCGCGCAAACUUUGCAAUACACGAAAGUGUGACAGGGCUAUCCCGAGUGCCGUCCGCUGAGGGUGGCUUUUACCCAGUCUAUAAAGCUGGGAGAAUAAGGAGAGGGCAAGUCUGGUGUCAGCCGCCGCGGUAAUACCAGCUCUCCGAGUGGUGUGGAUGUUUAUUGGGCCUAAAGCAUCCGUAGCUUGCCAAGCAAGUCCCCUGUUAAACCCACCGAAUUAAUCGUUGGAUUGCGGGGGAUACUGCUCGGCUAGGGGACGGGAGAGGCCGACGGUAUUUCCGGGGUAGGGGUGAAAUCCUAUAAUCCCGGGAAGACCACCAGUGGCGAAGGCUGUCGGCUAGAACGCGCCCGACGGUGAGGGAUGAAAGCUGAGGGAGCGAACCGGAUUAGAUACCCGGGUAGUCC
RNAcentral lists this ribosomal RNA (415 nucleotides) under uncultured crenarchaeote. RNAcentral describes it as "partial 16S ribosomal RNA". It matches the Rfam family "Archaeal small subunit ribosomal RNA", at positions 330 to 747 of the family's 1478-position model. The record is from RNAcentral. Lineage: Archaea; Thermoproteati; Thermoproteota.